UUCUAAAAAGGAUUGCUGUCUGUCUUCCAGCUCCUUCGAGAACUGAUAGAGCGUAAAACCACUUGGUUGGACCCCAACGAUCAAGUUGCCAUGGGCAGACAGUGGCUGGCCAUCCAGAAGCUACGAAGCAAAAUAAAGAAGAAAGUGGACAGAAAAGCCAGUAAAGGAAGGAAAAUCCGGUAUCAUGUCCAUAGCAAGCUGGUGAGCUUCAUGGCACCUAUUGACCACUGUACGAUGAAUGAUGAUGCCAGGUGAGUAAUAGAUUAAUUAUGUUUCUCAAAUGGCUUCAUGACAGCA
This is a non-coding RNA of Meleagris gallopavo (turkey), 297 nucleotides long. The record is from RefSeq and is a predicted model, not a curated record. NCBI's taxonomy places the organism in Eukaryota, Metazoa, Chordata, Aves, Galliformes, Phasianidae.